This 551-nucleotide ribosomal RNA is filed under the name uncultured Paraglomus. RNAcentral describes it as "SSU rRNA". It matches the Rfam family "Eukaryotic small subunit ribosomal RNA", at positions 548 to 1098 of the family's 1831-position model. The record is from RNAcentral. Lineage: Eukaryota; Fungi; Glomeromycota; Glomeromycetes; Paraglomerales; Paraglomeraceae.
UUGGAGGGCAAGUCUGGUGCCAGCAGCCGCGGUAAUUCCAGCUCCAAUAGCGUAUAUUAAAGUUGUUGCAGUUAAAAAGCUCGUAGUUGAACUUCAGGCCUGGCUGGACGGUCCGCCUUCCGGGCGAGUACUGUCUGUGGUCGGGUCCUACCUUCUGGCGAAGCGUCAUGGCCUUAACCGGCCGUGGCGGGGAACCAGGACUUUUACUGUGAAAAAAUUAGAGUGUUCAAAGCAGGCAAUUUCGCUUGGAUACAUUAGCAUGGAAUAAUGGAAUAGGACAAUGGUUCUAUUUGUUGGUUUCUAGGACUGUUGUAAUGAUUAAUAGGGAUAGUUGGGGGCAUUAGUAUUCAAUUGUCAGAGGUGAAAUUCUUGGAUUUAUUGAAGACUAACUACUGCGAAAGCAUUUGCCAAGGAUGCUUUCAUUAAUCAAGAACGAAAGUUAGGGGAUCGAAGACGAUCAGAUACCGUCGUAGUCUUAACCAUAAACUAUGCCGACUAGGAAUCGGACGAAGUUAAUUUUUUAAUGACUCGUUCGGCGCCUUACGGGAAAC